Gadus morhua (Atlantic cod) is the source of this 292-nucleotide long non-coding RNA. RefSeq lists it as uncharacterized. The transcript has 4 exons. The record is from RefSeq and is a predicted model, not a curated record. Lineage: Eukaryota; Metazoa; Chordata; Actinopteri; Gadiformes; Gadidae.
GCAAGCUGGUAGGGGAGCCGUGAAUCUGGAGGAUGACCAUCACUCUACCAACAAGGAUUACGUUGGGGCCAGACUUGCGCUGUUUGUUCCAGACCAGGACUCUGGCUGAGGAGAGCUGAUGGAGGAGCCAAGACUCUGGAGGACGACAUCACUCUACCAACAAAGAUCCUCGAAUCUGGAGGACUGACGGAGAAGCCGUACAUCCGGAAGGCAAAUCAUGAGGACAACCAGGACUCUCCAUCAAGGAUUCCUCACACACCUGAGCUGAACCUCACCUGAUCCUGUUUGGUCG